ACGCGAAGAACCUUACCAGGCCUUGACAUCCCUUGCAAAGUCUUAGAGAUAAGAUAGAGGUUAUCAAGGUGACAGGUGGUGCAUGGUUGUCGUCAGCUCGUGUCGUGAGAUGUUGGGUUAAGUCCCGCAACGAGCGCAACCCUUGUCUUCAGUUACCAUCAUUAAGUUGGGGACUCUGGAGAGACUGCCGGUGAUAAACCGGAGGAAGGUGGGGAUGACGUCAAAUCAUCAUGCCCCUUAUGGCCUGGGCUACACACGUACUACAAUGGCGUAUACAACAAGAUGCAAUACCGUAAGGUGGAGCUAAUCUAUUAAAAUACGUCUCAGUUCGGAUUGAGGUCUGCAACUCGACCUCAUGAAGUUGGAAUCGCUAGUAAUCGCAGAUCAGCAUGCUGCGGUGAAUACGUUCUCGGGUCUUGUACACACCG
RNAcentral lists this ribosomal RNA (428 nucleotides) under uncultured bacterium. RNAcentral describes it as "bacterial SSU rRNA". It matches the Rfam family "Bacterial small subunit ribosomal RNA", at positions 959 to 1392 of the family's 1533-position model. The record is from RNAcentral.